UUGGAAGUGGAAAAAAAUGUGUGUUAGUGAUUUUUAGAGUGUUGGAUGGAUCAAAGAGCCAAUGUUUUUAAAACUUUAACAAAGGAUGACCAUAAAAACAACAAAAUAUUCUUUGUGAUAAACACUUAUUGUUUGGAAGAACAUUUCUUAAAGGGAGUUUAGUGAACGUUAUAAGUUGUUGAUGGGGUUUAAAAUGAAUGAGUAGUGGUUACAACAAGCACCAUAAGUUCUUCUGCAUAAUUUGUGGCAGAU
This 252-nucleotide long non-coding RNA is filed under the name Medicago truncatula (barrel medic). RNAcentral's name for it is "lncRNA gene20778". Lineage: Eukaryota; Viridiplantae; Streptophyta; Magnoliopsida; Fabales; Fabaceae. The record is from RNAcentral.